This 21-nucleotide non-coding RNA is filed under the name Caenorhabditis elegans. The record is from RNAcentral. Lineage: Eukaryota; Metazoa; Nematoda; Chromadorea; Rhabditida; Rhabditidae.
UGUAAUCGAAGUACUGGAAGA